Molecule: long non-coding RNA, 1861 nt
Filed under: Amborella trichopoda
Lineage: Eukaryota; Viridiplantae; Streptophyta; Magnoliopsida; Amborellales; Amborellaceae
Description: long non-coding RNA (ATRI_LNC001404)
Source: RNAcentral
GCAGGAAAGUCAAUUUAACAAAAAUCCAGCAAACACAAUUGCAAUAAAUACAAGCAGAUAUUGACACGCUCAACUUCAUGAACUCCCCUAUUUCCUUUACCAACUCAUGGAAACCAUAAGAUCAAUAUCAACCCGCUCUUACAAUUAAUUUUAGCCAGUAAACGAUCUUGCCAAUGGAUCAAAUCAAUUCACUAACUGCCGCCAGGAAAUGUAGAAGCCAAAUUCAUAUUUUCUCUCACUGGGAAAAAAUACAAGGCCCUCCCUUUGCUAAUGAAUUCUCCUUUUUAACCCUCAAAUGUCAAAGACAGCAAAACGUUCUGGUCAAAGUGAACAAAAAUGGAUUUGAUCGAGGAGUUUUCCCUCAAUAGGGCAAAGAAGCAUGCAUUUUCCCAAAAACAAAUUCAGGGGAAGGCAUAAGAAUCAAGGGAGUUGAUUUAUGAAUGAAUUAAAAUAAAAAGGAAAGAAAAUUCCACCAAAACAGCACAAAAUUGUUACAGAAAAUAGGGUUUUUCCAUUGGAAACCAUUUAGAAAAAAGAAAGAAAAUCGUGUUCUAGAAACUGGCUGAUUAAAACCGCUUCCAUCUGGAUCCAAAUCAUGUUCUAGAAACUGGCUCAUUAAAACUGCUUCCAUCUGGUUCCAUCAGGUUCUCUCUGAUUUUGUAUUUCAUACAAUUUUUUCACUGAACUGAACCGGUCUUUGUCCAUGAUCCAGUUUAAAGUGUUUGAUUAGGUAGGUCCUGUCUAGUUAUGAUGGCAAAUUUUAUACAAAAUAAAUGCUUAUACAUGCCAUGGAAUAUUAAAACCAUCAGAAUAUUCUAUACAUCAUUGUCUUUCCCGUAAGGUAGUUUGAAGAUGCAACUGGCCUUAAGCAACAACACAUUACUCUAUUUGGCUCACUGCAAAAGGAGGCUAGCCUAGAGAAGUAAUGAAACUCAUACAUAAGAAAGAGGAUUGUUCACUUAUAACAAUCUCGAACUCAAGGACUUGAGAAGUAGAGAUUCCAUAGGCAUGGUCCACAGGUUAAAUACUUGCACCAGUUCCAGGAGUCAAUUUAGAACUUAAAAGAGAUCAGGCUGCAGUCUCUAAAAGCAGAAGAUGGCAGAGUUUUGUGCCUUGACUCUUCUCCUACAGGUAGACAAGGAUAGAGCCUUCAAUAGGCCAUAAGAAAAAGGGAAUGAGUUAUCCAGCAACUCAGAUGAGGGAUACAAAUUGAAUAGAGUCAAUGGAGAAAUUCAUUUUGGUGAACACAAAGAGACUGGCCCGUAUCGAGGCAAUGGAAAAGGAAGCUCUUCCACGAGAUCCCCAUCAUUUUAUGUGGGGACAAUGGCAACCCAAGGUUUUGAACCCAAUUAGAUUUUGUAAGCACAAGAUCAAAUUGCCUAGUGGUCCCAAUUUGGCAACGACUUCACAGCCAUUAUACUAGAGCUCUAACCUAAAAUUAUAAUGCCACUAGUAAGAGAAAUUGGAGCGCUUGAGUGCAUCCAUAAGAGAAAGAUUGACAAAACACAACCAAUUAAUGAUUCAAUCUUCACGCAUUAUAAUUUAAAGACACAUAAGAGUCCAUGCACAAUUUACCAAUGAUCAUUUUCUUAAUAUUUUUUAUCCAUAAUUAACUUAUAGGUUGUAAAUUUGCAUCCUCAUUUGAUAACUAUGUAGAUUACACACAAUAAAAGAUGGGCAGGGGAAGACCAUAGACUCCAAAAGCUUAGAAGAAUAACUGGAAUCUGGGUUGAAGAGGCCAGUGGGGUCCUAGCAUAGUUACAGGGAUCAUCCAACUAAGGUGGUGAUCCCGCACAGCAAUCCAGUGUUCCUUUGUCAGGAUCUACAUGGGAUCUCCAUAGCUAAUAUUAGUGAUCUUGUG